GAUGAAGAACGCAGCGAAAUGCGAUAAGUAAUGUGAAUUGCAGAAUUCAGUGAAUCAUCGAAUCUUUGAACGCACCUUGCACCCUUUGGCAUUCUGAAGGGUAUGCUCGUUUGAGUGUCAUUGUACUCUCACACUCCCGAUCUUUGCAUUGGGAGCAGUGGACUUGGGUUUGCUGCUUCACCGUCGCUUACCUCAAAUAGGUUAGUGCAACUCUUGGUUGGACAUAGUACGGCGUGAUAAGUGUUCUUCGCCGGUGCCUCGCAAAGAGGGUGGCCGAUCGGGAUGUUGUGCUCCAAACCGUCUUCGGACAAUCUCUGACGACUUGACCGCAGAUCGAGUAAGACUACCCGCUGAACUUAAGCAUAUCAAUAAGCGGAGGA
This 380-nucleotide unclassified non-coding RNA is filed under the name soil metagenome. RNAcentral describes it as "partial contains 5.8S ribosomal RNA, internal transcribed spacer 2, and large subunit ribosomal RNA". The stretch from base 1 to 120 matches the Rfam family "5.8S ribosomal RNA", at positions 35 to 154 of the family's 154-position model. The record is from RNAcentral.